UGUGUUUGUUGUAAGGGCGCACGGUGGAUGCCUGGGCAUGUCAAGCCGAUGAAGGACGUGAAGGGCUGCGUUAAGCCUCGGGGAGUUGCCGAUUAAGCGUUGAUCCGAGGAUGUCCGAAUGGGGAAACCCGGCCGUGGUUAUGUGCGGUCACCUGCUGCUGAAUGAAAUAGGUGGUAUGGGGGUUACGCGGGGAAGUGAAACAUCUCAGUACCCGUAGGAGAAGAAAACAAUAUGUGAUUCCGUUAGUAGUGGCGAGCGAAGGCGGAGGUGAUGGCUAAACUCUAUGCGUGGAUGAUACUUGGUAGGGGUUGCGUGUAGGGGGUUGUGGGAUGCGUGUGUCUGGCUGGCUACCACUGGCUGGCACCCUUGGAUUGUGUGUUAGGGGAAGUGGUGUGGAAUCGCCUGCCGUAGACGGUGAGAGUCCGGUACCUGAAGACAUGUGGUUGGGGUGUGUGCGUAUUUUCCCGAGUAGCAGCGGGCUCGUGGAAUCUGCUGUGAAUCUGCCGGGACCACCCGGUAAGCCUGAAUACUUGGCGUGACCGAUAGUGUAGUUAGUACCGUGAGGGAAGGGUGAAAAGUACCCCGGGAGGGGAGUGAAAUAGUUCCUGAAACCGUGUGCUUACAAUCCGUCAUAGCCCCUUGUGUGGGGUGGUGGCGUGCCUUUUGAAGAAUGAGCCUGCGAGUCAGCGGCAUGUCGCGAGGUUAACCCGUGUGUGUGGGGUAGUCGUAGCGAAAGCGAAUCCUAAUGAGGGUGUGUUAAGUGGCAUGUUCUGGACCCGAAGCGGGGUGAUCUACCCAUGGCCAGUGUGAAGCGGUGGUAAAACAUUGUGGAGGCGCGAACCCACUUAGGUUGAAAACUGAGGGGAUGAGCUGUGGGUAGGGGUGAAAGGCCAAUCAAACUCCGUGAUAGCUGGUUCUCCCCGAAAUGCAUUUAGGUGCAGCGUUGCGUGGUUGUUGUUGGUGGUAGAGCGACUGGUUGGUUGAUGCGGGACGAUCAUCUUAGCGAUGCCAGCUAAACUCCGAAUGCCAAUAAUAUGCGAGCGUGGCAGUGAGACGGCGGGGGAUAAGCUCCGUGACGUCGAGAGGGAAACAGCCCAGAUCGUCGGUUAAGGCCCCUAAGGGUGUGCUGAGUGGAAAAGGAGGUGUCAUCGCGAAGACAGCCAGGAGGUUGGCUUAGAAGCAGCCAUCCUUGAAAGAGUGCGUAAUAGCUCACUGGUUAAGUGGUGAUGCGCCGAUAAUGUAGUGGGGCUUAUAAAGUACACCGCCGAAACCGCGGCAACAUGCACGUCUUUGGUGUGUGUUGGGUAGGGGAGCGUCGUGCAUGCUGAGAAGCUGUCACGGAAGUGGUGGUGGAGUGUGUGCGAGUGAGAAUGCAGGCAUGAGUAGCGAAAAACAUGUGGAAAACGUGUUCGCCGGAUGACUAAGGGUUCCUGGGUGAAGCUAAUCUUCCCAGGGUGAGUCGGGACCUAAGGCGAGGCCGACAGGCGUAGUCGAUGGAUAACGGGUUGAUAGUCCCGUACCCGUGUAUACGCGACCAGUGGUGACUCGGUUGUACUAACCACCCACUACCAUUGAUGGUCACACGUUGUGUGUUUGUUGGUGUGUGGUGCGUGGGAUCUUGAUCGUUGGUAGCCAAGCGAUGGGGUGACACAGAUUGGUAGUCAAGGCCACUUAUUGGAUUGUGGUGUAAGCGUGUGGCCCGCAGGAUAGGUAAAUCCGUUCUGCAUAUAAGGGUGAGGCGUGAUGCGUACCCAGAUUGUUGGGGAUGUUUGAUGUGCCUGUGCUGUCGAGAAAAGCCUCUAGCGAUGUGUGUGCACGGCCCGUACCGGAAACCGACACAGGUGGUCUGGUUGAGGAUACUAAGGCGUUCGGGUGAACUAUGGUUAAGGAACUCGGCAAAAUGCCCCCGUAACUUCGGGAGAAGGGGGGCCAUGUGCGGCAAUCACCCUUGUGCGGUGUGCGUUGUGUGUGGCCGCAGAGAAGUGAGGGAAGCGACUGUUUAUUAAAAACACAGGUCCGUGCGAAGACGUUGCAAGUCGAGGUAUACGGACUGACGCCUGCCCGGUGCUGGAAGGUUAAGAGGACUCGUGAGCACGCCCGUGUGGUGUGUGAGGCGGGUAAUUGAAGCCCCAGUAAACGGCGGUGGUAACUAUAACCAUCCUAAGGUAGCGAAAUUCCUUGUCGGGUAAGUUCCGACCUGCACGAAUGGCGUAACGACUUCCCUGCUGUCUCAACCAUAGGCCCGGUGAAAUUGCAGUACGAGUAAAGAUGCUCGUUUCGCGCGGCAGGACGAAAAGACCCCGGGACCUUUACUAUAGCUUGGUAUUGGUGUGUGCUGCAGCUUGUGUAGGAUAGGUGGGAGACGUGGAAGCAUUCACGCUAGUGGGUGUGGAGUCGAUUGGUGAAAUACCACUCUGGUUGUUGUGUGCAUCUAACUGUGGGCCCUGAUCGGGUUUUGGGACAGUGCCUGGUGGGUAGUUUAACUGGGGCGGUUGCCUCCUAAAUGGUAACGGAGGCGCCCAAAGGUUCCCUCGGCUUGGUUGGUAAUCAGGUUUUAGAGUGUAAGUGCAGUAAGGGAGCUUGACUGUGACACUGACGGGUGGAGCAGGUGCGAAAGCAGGGACUAGUGAUCCGGCAUCAACGUGUGGGUGUGGUGUCGCUCAACGGAUAAAAGGUACCCCGGGGAUAACAGGCUGAUCUUCCCCAAGAGUUCAUAUCGACGGGAUGGUUUGGCACCUCGAUGUCGGCUCGUCGCAUCCUGGGGCUGGAGUAGGUCCCAAGGGUUGGGCUGUUCGCCCAUUAAAGCGGCACGCGAGCUGGGUUUAGAACGUCGUGAGACAGUUCGGUCUCUAUCCGCCGCGCGCGUGGAAACUUGAACAAGGCUGUCCCUAGUACGAGAGGACCGGGAUGGACGUACCUCUAGUGUGCCAGUUGUCACGCCGGUGGCAUGGCUGGUUGGCUAUGUGCGGGAGGGAUAACCGCUGAAAGCAUCUAAGCGGGAAGCCUGUUGUGAGAUGAGGUUUCUGUUGAGGUUCCCUGUAGAUGAGGGGGUUGAUAGGUCGGAGUUGGAAGCAUCGUAAGGUGUUGUGAGAUGACCGAUACUAAUAUGACCGACACAAACACACC
Molecule: ribosomal RNA, 3127 nt
Filed under: Corynebacterium durum
Lineage: Bacteria; Bacillati; Actinomycetota; Actinomycetes; Mycobacteriales; Corynebacteriaceae
Description: 23S ribosomal RNA
Rfam family: Bacterial large subunit ribosomal RNA
Source: RNAcentral